Molecule: ribosomal RNA, 500 nt
Filed under: uncultured bacterium
Lineage: Bacteria
Description: partial 16S ribosomal RNA
Rfam family: Bacterial small subunit ribosomal RNA
Source: RNAcentral
AUUGAACGCUGGCGGAAUGCUUUACACAUGCAAGUCGAACGGCAGCACGGACUUCGGUCUGGUGGCGAGUGGCGAACGGGUGAGUAAUGUAUCGGAACGUGCCCUGUCGUGGGGGAUAACGUAGUGAAAAUUACGCUAAUACCGCAUACGAUCUAUGGAUGAAAGCGGGGGAUCGCCAGACAUCGCGCGAUUGGAGCGGCCGAUAUCAGAUUAGGUAGUUGGUGGGGUAAAGGCCCACCAAGCCAACGAUCUGUAGCUGGUCUGAGAGGACGACCAGCCACACUGGAACUGAGACACGGUCCAGACUCCUACAGGAGGCAGCAGUGGGGAAUUUUGGACAAUGGGCGAAAGCCUGAUCCAGCCAUUCCGCGUGCAGGAUGAAGGCCCUCGGGUUGUAAACUGCUUUUGUACAGAACGAAAAGGUUUCUACUAAUACUAGGAGCUCAUGACGGUACUGUAAGAAUAAGCACCGGCUAACUACGUGCCAGCCGCCGCGGUAA